AUUACUUUGGCAGAAUAGUGUAAUGAAUUUAGAAUUCAUAAAUGUAUAUAUAUUAUACAGGUAAUA
This 66-nucleotide transfer RNA is filed under the name Inocellia (Epinocellia) sp. RNAcentral describes it as "tRNA-Leu". Lineage: Eukaryota; Metazoa; Arthropoda; Insecta; Raphidioptera; Inocelliidae. The record is from RNAcentral.